RNAcentral lists this ribosomal RNA (245 nucleotides) under uncultured Desulfatiglans sp. RNAcentral's name for it is "partial 16S ribosomal RNA". It matches the Rfam family "Bacterial small subunit ribosomal RNA", at positions 524 to 768 of the family's 1533-position model. Lineage: Bacteria; Pseudomonadati; Thermodesulfobacteriota; Desulfobacteria; Desulfatiglandales; Desulfatiglandaceae. The record is from RNAcentral.
UACGGAGGGUGCAAGCGUUGUUCGGAAUUACUGGGCGUAAAGGGCGCGUAGGCGGUGUAGCAAGUCGGUUGUGAAAGCCCUGGGCUCAACCCAGGAAGUGCAUUCGAAACUGUUACACUUGAGUAUGGGAGAGGAGAGUGGAAUUCCCAGUGUAGAGGUGAAAUUCGUAGAUAUUGGGAGGAACACCCGUGGCGAAGGCGACUCUCUGGACCAAUACUGACGCUGAGGCGCGAAAGCGUGGGGAG